UACAGAGGGGGCAAGCGUUGUUCGGAAUUACUGGGCGUAAGGGCGCGUAGGCGGCCGCCUAAGUCAGACGCGAAAUCCCUCGGCUCAACCGGGGAACUGCGUCUGAUACUGGGUGGCUUGAAUCCGGGAGAGGGAUGCGGAAUUCCAGGUGUAGCGGUGAAAUGCGUAGAUAUCUGGAGGAACACCGGUGGCGAAGGCGGCAUCCUGGACCGGCAUUGACGCUGAGGCGCGAAAGCCAGGGGAGCAAACGGG
RNAcentral lists this ribosomal RNA (252 nucleotides) under uncultured bacterium. Its description in RNAcentral is "partial 16S ribosomal RNA". It matches the Rfam family "Bacterial small subunit ribosomal RNA", at positions 524 to 776 of the family's 1533-position model. The record is from RNAcentral.